AUCCUACUCGCUCCGUCCGUAAUUACUUGUUACGAAAAUGAAUAAAAACGGAUGUAUCUAGAACUAAAAUACGUCUAGAUACAUCUAUUUUUGGGACAAGUAUUUCCGGACGAAGGGAGUACCUG
Molecule: non-coding RNA, 125 nt
Organism: Triticum aestivum (bread wheat)
Lineage: Eukaryota; Viridiplantae; Streptophyta; Magnoliopsida; Poales; Poaceae
Source: Rfam